RNAcentral lists this ribosomal RNA (465 nucleotides) under uncultured bacterium. RNAcentral describes it as "bacterial SSU rRNA". It matches the Rfam family "Bacterial small subunit ribosomal RNA", at positions 328 to 792 of the family's 1533-position model. The record is from RNAcentral.
GUGCCAGACUCCUACGGGAGGCAGCAGUGAGGAAUAUUGGUCAAUGGGCGAGAGCCUGAACCAGCCAAGUCGCGUGAGGGAGUACUGCCCUAUGGGUUGUAAACCUCUUUUGUCGGGGAGCAAAAGCCGGACGUGUCCGUCUGUGAGAGUACCCGAAGAAAAAGCAUCGGCUAACUCCGUGCCAGCAGCCGCGGUAAUACGGAGGAUGCGAGCGUUAUCCGGAUUUAUUGGGUUUAAAGGGUGCGCAGGCGGGCUGUUAAGCCGGCGGUAAAAAUUCAGGGCUCAACCCUGUCGAGCCGUCGGAACUGGCAGUCUUGAGUGGGCGAGAAGUAUGCGGAAUGCGUGGUGUAGCGGUGAAAUGCAUAGAUAUCACGCAGAACGCCGAUUGCGAAGGCAGCAUACCGGCGCCCAACUGACGCUGAGGCACGAAAGCGUGGGGAUCGAACAGGAUUAGAUACCCCAGUA